GCGGAGGAAAAGAAACCAACAGGGAUUGCCCUAGUAACGGCGAGUGAAGCGGCAACAGCUCAAAUUUGAAAUCUGGCUCUCUUUGGGGGUCCGAGUUGUAAUUUGCAGAGGAUGCUUUGGCAUUGGCGGCGGUCUAAGUUCCUUGGAACAGGACAUCGCAGAGGGUGAGAAUCCCGUACGUGGGCGCCUGCCUUUGCCGUGUAAAGCUCCUUCGACGAGUCGAGUUGUUUGGGAAUGCAGCUCUAAAUGGGAGGUAAAUUUCUUCUAAAGCUAAAUACCGGCCAGAGACCGAUAGCGCACAAGUAGAGUGAUCGAAAGAUGAAAAGUACUUUGGAAAGAGAGUCAAAAAGCACGUGAAAUUGUUGAAAGGGAAGCGCUUGCAGCCAGACUUGCCCGCAGUUGCUCACCUAGGCUUUGGCCUGGGGCACUCUUCUGCGGGCAGGCCAGCAUCAGUUUGGGCGGUCGGACAAAGGCCUCUGUCAAGUAUCUCCCUUCGGGGUGACCUUAUAGGGGAGGCGUAAUGCGACCAGCCCGGACUGAGGUCCGCGCAUCUGCUAGGAUGCUGGCGUAAUGGCUGUAAGCGGCCCGUCUUGAAACACGGACCAAGGAGUCUAACAUCUAUGCGAGUGUUUGGGUGUCAAGCCCGGGCGCGCAAUGAAAGUGAACGGAGGUGGGAACCCUUUGGGUGCACCAUCGACCGAUCCUGAUGUCUUCGGAUGGAUUUGAGUAAGAGCAUAGCUGUUGGGACCCGAAAGAUGGUGAACUAUGCUUGAAUAGGGUGAAGCCAGAGGAAACUCUGGUGGAGGCUCGCAGCGGUUCUGACGUGCAAAUCGAUCGUCAAAUUUGGGCAUAGGGGCGAAAGACUAAUCGAACCAUCUAGUAGCUGGUUCCUGCC
RNAcentral lists this small RNA (895 nucleotides) under Paraconiothyrium cyclothyrioides. Its description in RNAcentral is "eukaryotic LSU rRNA". It matches the Rfam family "Eukaryotic large subunit ribosomal RNA", at positions 50 to 962 of the family's 3401-position model. Lineage: Eukaryota; Fungi; Ascomycota; Dothideomycetes; Pleosporales; Didymosphaeriaceae. The record is from RNAcentral.